This 144-nucleotide ribosomal RNA is filed under the name Ramaria stricta var. stricta. RNAcentral describes it as "5.8S ribosomal RNA". Lineage: Eukaryota; Fungi; Basidiomycota; Agaricomycetes; Gomphales; Gomphaceae. The record is from RNAcentral.
CUUUUCACCACCGAAUUUUUGGGUUUUCCCUUCAUUAAAAAACCCCCCGAAACCCCAAAACGUAUGGGGAAUUGCAAAAUUCAUGGAAUCUUCAAAUCUUUAAACCCUUCUGGCCCUCUUUGGUUUUCCAAGAACCAGGCCUGU